UAGGUCCCUUGAGGUCGUCCACACAACGGCAUUUUACCGGUUGUGUGUAUGUAACUGUGUAGACUGAACCCGUGUGUGAAAGACGCACAGGAAAGUGAGGGAGGGACUGUGGACAGAUCUAACGAAUUUGAAUUUCCCGUGUCGAGAGACACGCAAAAUUCCCAUUGGCUGAAUAACUUGAAUAAUUAAUUCAAAUGCGUGUUACGGUAAACAAACAAUUUCAAAGCGUGAUACAAUUAUUCAAGAUGGAUUUCAAUACUAUCUUGAACGAAUGUGUUAAAAGUUUGCCUUUUAUCGAUCGUCUUAAAGACCAGCAAAGAUUGGCGAUCGUUUCUUUAUCGCAGGGAAAGACGUCGUCUGUAUUCUGCCUACAGGUUUCGGGUUUAGAACUUUAAGAACUUUAGCUGGUGAUGAUUUACUAUAUGUGGACAAAGUAAUUUAAUAUUUUUGAAACUAAUGUGUGUUCAGUAUACUAUAAUGAAAGUAGCCACAUUCUCACCAAGUGUCCACAGUGUGGCAUUCGUCAACAACUACCAGGGAAAGGCGUUGAUAUAACGAGAGUUACGAUCUUUCAAGAUAUUAAUGAAUUCUUCGUUCAAGAACUCUUCAGCUGAUCCAAUUAUAAUAGACGUGUUCGCGUUUAUAUUAUAAAUAUCAUGUUUUGUCCUUUCAUCCAAAACAUGCGUCAAGGCAAUGGCAGACAACCCAAAUUUGCUGAGUUCCUUAAUUUGGUCUUCCACAACGCUUUUCAAUGGAGAAAUAAUUAACACAUUCGUUCAAGAUAGUAUUGAAAUCCAUCUUGAUCGAAUAAUUCGCUUUGAAAUUGUUUGUUUACUGUAACACGCAUUCGAAUUAAUUAUUCAUUUACGUAAUUGAUACUGCAUGUCAAUCAAGCUAUUCAGCCAAUGGAAUUUUCCGUGUCUCUCGACACGGGAAAUUCAAAUUCGUUAGACCUGUCCACAGUCCCUCACUUUCCCGCACGUCUUUCACAAGAGGGACUGGGUUCAGUCUAGUAACUGUGACACGAAAAACGUACCAAACCUUCUGGGGACCUGUGUAAAUAUUUUUACAUUGUGUGGACUUCAUGUCCUCAUAAUGUCGAAAUUCUUGUGCAAGUCCCCACAAUGUAAGAAUUCUUUUCAGUGUAUUACUGUGUAAAAAAAAAGUACUAAACGUUCUGGGGACCUGUGUAAAUAUUUUUACAUUGUGGGGACUUCAAGCCCUCAUAACGUCAAAAUUCUUGUGCAAGUCC
This is a non-coding RNA of Paramuricea clavata, 1252 nucleotides long. The record is from the annotation of a GenBank genome assembly. Lineage: Eukaryota; Metazoa; Cnidaria; Anthozoa; Malacalcyonacea; Plexauridae.